RNAcentral lists this ribosomal RNA (488 nucleotides) under uncultured bacterium. RNAcentral describes it as "bacterial SSU rRNA". It matches the Rfam family "Bacterial small subunit ribosomal RNA", at positions 30 to 496 of the family's 1533-position model. The record is from RNAcentral.
AGUGAACGCUGGCGGCAGGCCUAACACAUGCAAGUCGAGCGGCAGCGCGUCCGACCACCCUCGGGUGGUCGGAUGGCGGCGAGCGGCGGACGGGUGAGGAAUGCAUCGGAAUCUGCCUCGUUGUGGGGGGAUAACGUAGGGAAACUUACGCUAAUACCGCAUACGACCUACGGGUGAAAGUGGGGGACCUUCGGGCCUCACGCGAUGAGAUGAGCCGAUGCCGGAUUAGCUAGUUGGCGGGGUAAAGGCCCACCAAGGCGACGAUCCGUAGCUGGUCUGAGAGGAUGAUCAGCCACACUGGGACUGAGACACGGCCCAGACUCCUACGGGAGGCAGCAGUGGGGAAUAUUGGACAAUGGGCGCAAGCCUGAUCCAGCAAUGCCGCGUGUGUGAAGAAGGCCUGCGGGUUGUAAAGCACUUUCAGUGGGGAAGAACAGAUUCGGGUCAAUACCCCGGGGCCCUGACGUUACCCACAGAAGAAGCACCGG